This 147-nucleotide small nuclear RNA is filed under the name Octodon degus (degu). Its description in RNAcentral is "U1 spliceosomal RNA (ENSODEG00000021588.1)". It matches the Rfam family "U1 spliceosomal RNA". Rfam says of the family: U1 is a small nuclear RNA (snRNA) component of the spliceosome (involved in pre-mRNA splicing). Its 5' end forms complementary base pairs with the 5' splice junction, thus defining the 5' donor site of an intron. There are significant differences in sequence and secondary structure between metazoan and yeast U1 snRNAs, the latter being much longer (568 nucleotides as compared to 164 nucleotides in human). The record is from Rfam by way of RNAcentral. Lineage: Eukaryota; Metazoa; Chordata; Mammalia; Rodentia; Octodontidae.
AUAUUUACCUGGGGGGGCAUAACAUGAUCACAAAGGUGGUUUCUCCUGGGCAAGGCUCAUCCAUUGCAUGGUGGAUGGGCUACCUCUGUGAUUUCCUCAAAUGUGGAAAACUCCAUUGUGUAAUUCAUGAUAGUGUGUUUGUGCCUU